Molecule: ribosomal RNA, 498 nt
Filed under: uncultured bacterium
Lineage: Bacteria
Description: partial 16S ribosomal RNA
Rfam family: Bacterial small subunit ribosomal RNA
Source: RNAcentral
GAUGAACGCUGGCGGCAUGCCUAACACAUGCAAGUCGAACGAAGCUGCUCGGAAAGAGAUUUCGGUCAAUUGAAGAGUAGACUUAGUGGCGAACGGGUGAGUAAUGCAUGAGCAACCUGCCCUUCAGUGGGGGAUAACAGCCGGAAACGACUGCUAAUACCGCAUAACAUUUUCGAGAGGCAUCUCUUGAAAAUAAAAGAUUUAUUGCUGAAGGAUGGGCUCAUGUCUGAUUAGUUAGUUGGUGAGGUAACGGCUCACCAAGACCGCGAUCAGUAGCCGGUCUGAGAGGAUGAACGGCCACAUUGGGACUGAGAUACGGCCCAGACUCCUACGGGAGGCAGCAGUGGGGAAUAUUGGGCAAUGGGCGAAAGCCUGACCCAGCAAUGCCGCGUGAAGGAAGAAGGCCUUCGGGUUGUAAACUUCUUUUAUCAGGGACGAAGAAAGUGACGGUACCUGAUGAAUAAGCUCCGGCUAACUACGUGCCAGCAGCCGCCGUAA